UUGCCAGCUGGGUUUAUUUGGGCUACUCCCUAAUGUAAUCAGUUACUCCCUAAAGACUUACUGCUCUGCCCACUUUGUAGAGUAAUUUAAAGAUUCUAGACAAAUGUUUAAGGAGCAUGGCUUUUACAGACAGACUGCUUCAAAUCCUGGCUUCAUACCUAACUAACUUGGGCAAACUUUACUUUCUUAUCUGCAAAAUGGGAGCAAUAGUAGUAGCUACUUCACCGAAGUGUUAUGAGGAUUAAAUAAUAUUAUCUAAGUAAAGCACUCAGUACAGUGCAUGGAACAUGGUGAGUAGUGCAGUAAGUAUUGGCCAUUACUACUACCAAAUGAGAUAAUACAGGCAAAAACUCUCUCUGAUCUAUCAAGAUAAGGCAUUCUUAGUUCCAACCAAAUACUUUAGGGGAAUGGUAAAUUGCAUCACCGGAAGAUUUCUUACUUAAAAGUUGACUCUUUUUUUUUUUUUUUUUGUUACAGAGACAGCCUUUUGGUAUGUUUAGGGUUUGACGUCUGAAAUACUGAUCCACACACAACUGAAUAACAAGUUGUAAAAAGUGAGACAUUCCUACGUUAGGUAAUAAGUGUUGGCUCUGACCCAGGAGCUCAAGGUCUGAAUGUCCUUAGAGGCGAUGGACAGAAAUAUGUUAAGAAAUGAACGAAACCUUGGUAUUGGUCGGGUCACAUUUAAUUCAAACCUGUGAUUGACAAACCUAUUGAGGUUGUGAAGCACCUGGAAGUUGUGAUACUUUUUGGAGAAAAUCAUGAAAUUAUUAUCUUUGAACAAGAAACAGUUUUACUUGCUGUAAGUAUGACCAAAAGUAAAUAUUCAAUAUGAAAAAAUUUAUCAGAAGCACAUAAACUUAGAAGAAAAAAAUCUGUCCAACCAGGAUUGUUUCUCGCUUCUGAAUUUGUGUGUGUGUGUGUGUGUGUGUGUGUGUGUGAUCUUCUCUGAUUGCCUUACUUUUCUGUACCUCAUUCCUCUCUCACUCUUCAUUUGUUUAGAAAAUGUGUUCAUCUCAGUUUGGCAAUAAGUGGAAAUCAGUUCCAGGAGACUGAUUUAAGCAUUAUCUUGAGUUUUCUUCCUUCUGUAUUCAUGUCUUCUAUUUUUACUCACGUCUGUGUUCUGUUCUGUUAGUUUUUCAAUUGGUUGUUGAAUUUAAAAGCUUAAUGAAAGAUUAAAUAACUUGCCUGUGUUCGAAGAACCAGUAAAUAGGGAGCUGGAAUGCAAUUCCAGGCGGCCUGGCUCCAGAACCUGAGUUAUGUAACGGUCUCCCUGUUUAUUUAUAAUACAUUAAUAAGUAAGCAGGCUUAUUUUUAAAGUGGUUUUUUAAAAGUCUUAUUGUACCACUCUCAAUUCAUGGAGAAAUAAUGCAUUUUUUCAAUAGUAGAGGUGAAACAGUAACUUAUUCCCAAGCCCACAGCCAAAGUAAACAGUAUAAUUUCCUUCUUUGUGGGCCUGGGGGGCUUGUAGUUAGAGAGGGACACAGAAUCAAGGGAGGAUCUGUUUUGGGUGGAAGAAAACCAAACCUGCUCUAUACUUUAAGGAGAGGGAGUUACUGGAAGAGGAAAGUACAAAGAUAUAGAAGGGAGAAGCUGUGACUGCUGAAGAGAAGGUUGGGCUGGGAGAUGAGGUCCUAUAACUGGACAUAAGUGGAGGAAUUUGCUUCAAGACAAGAAGGGAAGACAGGUACGCCUGACGUUGGUAAGAUACCUAAUGAAGGAGAAGGCAGAGAAUGAUGAGCUUCAAGCCCUGCCACUCUGACAUAGCAGGGAACAAAUAAGACAGGGAGACAUCCUCUGCCUACUGUGGGAGCCCUACAAUACCAGAUUUUGAAAGGAAAAGAAAAACUUACUCAUGGAUCCUUGCACCAAAGCUAAAGAACAAUAAAUAUUCAGAUCAGUAGAGUUAAUGGUUUAAAUAAUCCACCCAUUUCCCAGGAGUCUUUCUGGAAAUUGUACCCUCAGGACACCUUAGACCCUUCAUUCCCCCAUAGGCACAUGGAUUAUUACCACGCUUGCAGGUCUUGAACCUUCUUCCCCCUUGGACACUAUUCCAGGAGUAAAAGUGGUCAGGAGAGAAUCCAGGUUUACUAUAUUUUCAAUAUUCUGAUUUCAUUCAGCAUCUUUUCUUUCCCCUAUUUUCCAUUUCUCCCUCAUUCUUUCUUUUCUCAGUUUGGAAAAUCUCCUCUCCAUAAUGUAAUAGCUUCAAGAACCAAAGAAAGGCAAUGUUAGAAAGGUUCCAAUUUGGGGCUUCUGGGUGGCUCAGCCAGUUAAGCAUCUGACACAUGAUUUCAGCUCAGGUCAUGAUCUCAGGGUCAUGAGAUCCAGCCUGGAGAUCGCAUCAGGCUCUGUGCUGAGCAUGGAGCCUACUUGUGAUUCUCUCUCUCUCUCUCUCUCUCUCUCUCUCUCUCUUUCCCCCCACACCCUUCCUGCCCUCUCCUGCCCUGACUUGCAUGUGCUCUCUCACUCUAAAAAAAAAAAUUUCUAAUUUUAUAAAAAAAGAAAACUGAGGCUGAGAGAAGAGAAGGUCUGUGGCCGAGUGUGCUAAAAAUUAUAUGCAGUCAUUUAUGGGGUGCCUGGGUGGCUCAUUCAGUUAAGUGUCCGACUUUG
Panthera uncia (snow leopard) is the source of this 2610-nucleotide long non-coding RNA. RefSeq lists it as uncharacterized. The transcript has 3 exons. The record is from RefSeq and is a predicted model, not a curated record. Lineage: Eukaryota; Metazoa; Chordata; Mammalia; Carnivora; Felidae.